CUUGCAUAUAUUUUGCUACAGAAGAGGGUUGCUUGUACGGAACUUUUUUGGUGAGUGCUCGGUAGCUGAAGCAACGCAUCUGUGUUCAGCUGACGUUGCCAGCGAUCCAACCCACAAACAAAACACCGCCACGUUGGCUUGGAGAUGCGUUUACUUCUUAUUCACUGUGUUUUUCCAAGCAGGGCUGCUGGAGCAGUCCGGAGACUUGUUCCAAUUACUCCAGUACUUCCCUUUCUUCGAAAUAGCAGCACCUGCGAGUCGCUGGUCGUCCAGCGGCGCGGUCCGAGCAACGCAUUGGAAGAAUGAUUGGGAGUUCGGUUUCCGAGAGCUCGCGGCUUAAUCCUCCGGCAGCGGCAGCGGCAGCGGCAGCGGCAGCGGAGAGCGGCUGCGUGCGGGAGGAGCUCCCUCUGCUGCACGAGCAGGGGAAGCGACCCGGCGUGAAACAGCCGGGAUUCGCUCCGCCCUCGUUCCUCCCUCUGACGCCGGCAGCAGUGGGAAGUCUGGAAACGUGAGCUGUUAACACGGAGAUCAAGGAGAGCCCCGGAAAGCGUUGGAAUUUGGUCUUCGCAGUUAGCGUUGCGGUAGCCGGGUGCUCUGCGCUUUGGCUGCGUGCAGCUGGAAGAGGCGAGGUAGCCUGACUCCGGCAGAAGGGGCACUGCACUUCAUCAGCUGAGCAGAGGUAAGCCUCAGGCAAUCAAGCUCAGGGUGUGGACGCGAAGGAACGAGCGAAACGCAGAUAGGUGAGGGACGGAGCUUUGGCAGACGUCUGCAGAGAGACGGCAAAGCGCAGAGUUGUAGGGUGCUGUCAGCAGAAGAACUUGCGGUUGUUUUGAUCAGGAAAAUGGAGGCUGAGAUACAGGAAUCUCAUUCGCUGAGCCGUUCGGGACUGCUGCGUUUCGGUGUGCUGCUGUAGAGCAGCUUGGCAAGCAGAACUUGAGAGAGCAGCCAAAGUGAUGGACAACUGGAAGCAAGGCUUUCUUGGGAGCAGAGGAGCGGAGAAAUGAGCGGCGAAAGCAAAGUCUGUGUGAUGGGAUGGCUGUCCUGGUGGGCGUGUGCUCUCAGGAGAGGGGAGAUGGGAUUUUUAAAGCACCUGGGCUGGUAAGCCUGCAUAGUGAAGUCCUUCCUCAGAGGUGUCUUAGGCAGCACAUCUGCCCCCCGGGAAGCCCGAUUAAUCUCCUGCUAAGGUCUGUCCAGGCCAAAAGUAAAACGUGGGAAAGAAACUCCUCCCUGUAGGACGAGCAGCACAAGUCCUCAGAGACCAGAGACUCAGCACAAGCAGAUCUGAGCCCAGAGCUUUGAGGCAAAACACAAGAGCAGCUCUUGCGAAGGGUGACAAGAGUGCAAAGCGGAGCGCUGAGAGCACCUGCCAGCUCUGCUGGGAAAGACUGAGGGCUCUGGCUGUGAACGGGACACCUCUCCCCAUUCACUUGAUUGAGGUAGAUGAGCUCUCUAACUUUGCAAGCAAAUGCACUCCUCCUCAGCUCUGAAACUCUCACACACAAUUGCUUGGUUUCCCUGAUAAGAACAGCCAAGCAGAAGAACAAAGAGUAGUUAUCAGCAGCGCAGCCCAAGGCCGUAUUCUUACAGCAGCAGCCACAGUGCUGUUGCAAGUUUUCAGUCUGUUCUGCACAAGAAGGCUAGGCACUCCUACCGCACGCUGUCAUGCGACAGGCUGCUUGGUGGGGCUUCCCCUCCUGCAAGAUGGUAAGAACAGCUCUUACGACAGCGGGAGAAGAGCAAGAACAGCAAGGCUGAAAUGCCAACAGGCUGAUGAACAUUUUUUCCCCGUGUUACGCAGACUGCUUUGUCUUCUGUGCUCCCCUGCACAGGCAGGGAGUGGGAUAUGCUCCUACCAGAUCACAUGAGAGACUUGAGAACAAGUUUUGCAUCUUGCAUCUUCCAGCAGGAGGAUCUGUUACGUUGCUAAAUGCAGAGCAGUCAGCUGGAAAGCGAACUGAUGGACUUAAAGCAGCUGUAGCAAUCGUAUCCUGAUCCUGUAACGUUCUCCUGUAUGAAUCAUUCAAGCAACACUGACGUGUGAGCGUGUGUAAAAUCGUGUCACAUCACUUUGAGGGGAGACUGGCGAGGUGCAGGUCUGACUUCAGAUACUUCAGCCUUUCUGUCCAGCCAGUGCUGUUGCAUUUGUCUCAGCCUGACAGGCAGCAGCAGAAGUCGGGGCUCUGAUGCAUUUCUGCAUUAAGGCACCCCUUGUUUGUCGUCACAUGAGAUGCUGAUGUUGUAGCUUACUUCUGCAAGUGUGGGCUUCUCGCUGAUAUGUAGGUUUCUCUUGGAUUAGCUAUGAUGAUGAAAUAAUGCCAAAGUCAUAUUAAACUGAAAUAGUAGCAAUUUGUAACUGAUAUAUAUGUAUAUGUAUAUAUAAAAAUAAAGCUUUAAGAAUGCAGAACAAAGCCUGGCUCUGGAUGACUGAUGACACAGCGGUACUUGUUGCUUUAUACCUAGGGCAGGAAUGUCC
This 2473-nucleotide long non-coding RNA is filed under the name Gallus gallus (chicken). Its description in RNAcentral is "lncRNA (ENSGALG00010002639.1)". The record is from RNAcentral. Lineage: Eukaryota; Metazoa; Chordata; Aves; Galliformes; Phasianidae.